UCUGUCGGUAGAAGCGCCGGGGUCCCACCUGACCCCAUGCCGAACUCAGAAGUGAAACGCCGUAGCGCCGAUGGUAGUGUGGGGUCUCCCCAUGCGAGAGUAGGGAACUGCCAGGC
Molecule: ribosomal RNA, 116 nt
Filed under: Escherichia coli
Lineage: Bacteria; Pseudomonadati; Pseudomonadota; Gammaproteobacteria; Enterobacterales; Enterobacteriaceae
Source: RNAcentral